Molecule: ribosomal RNA, 215 nt
Filed under: Orthopristis chrysoptera (pigfish)
Lineage: Eukaryota; Metazoa; Chordata; Actinopteri; Lutjaniformes; Haemulidae
Description: partial 16S ribosomal RNA
Source: RNAcentral
UAGACACCAAGGCAAACCACGUUAAGCACCCCUGAUACAGGAUUAAACUAAGUGAGCCCUGCCCUAAUGUCUUCGGUUGGGGCGACCAUGGGGUAAAAUAAACCCCCCAUGCGGAAAGGGAGGACCACCCUCUCAAAGCCAAGAGUUCCCACUCUAAUAAACAGAACUUCUGACCUAAAGAUCCGGCAAAGCCGAUCAACGGACCAAGUUACCCC